Long non-coding RNA from Salmo trutta (river trout), 1883 nucleotides. The record is from Ensembl. Lineage: Eukaryota; Metazoa; Chordata; Actinopteri; Salmoniformes; Salmonidae.
UGUGUGUUCUUUGGGGACCUUUAACAGAAUGUGACUGGCAGAACGGGUGUUGUGUGUGGAGGAUGAGGGCUGCAGUAGAUGUCGGGAGAGUGAAGGCUAAGGUGUCAUCUGAAAAGCUGUCCAUAGGCUACUGUAGCCAGUAACUUGUUAGGCAAAUGUUGAUACGCGUUAUGAAUGAUUGACUAGGAGCAAAGGUAUGUCUGGCUCACAGGUCUACAUUUUAUCCAUGCCCAUCAGUCAUUUAAACUAGGUUGUUAUCCGGCAUGCUCUCUGAGACUCUGACAUAACAAGAUAUAAUCCGUUUAUGAAUCCAAUAUACCGUUUCCUAGUUUUAUCAUUGAGUGGUUAGUGUUUAGCCAGUCCGCUACCUUGACACUGUUCUGUGAAACGGAUACUUCGUGAACGUAGAUGUCAUGAUUCGCUUCGAUGAAUCGUCUGGAGUUCCGCUGAACUGGGAAGCCACGUCGCUCAUUGGCCAGCAUUUGUUCCUUUUGACUACUUCGGCUUCUGCUAUUGGCUGAGCCGCAGUCAGCCUGCCCGUGGACCCGCCUCCUCCCAGCAAAAAGGACAGAUUCUGAUGGAUCAUUUAAAGGCAGUGUUUCUGUUCAUCCUUCCAGUACGCGUCUCCACCGUUUUUACAUAGUGUUUCAGCCAGCCAGUCUUACCGCACGACCCAAACGGACACCAAGCUCCCAGCGGUACCGGGUGAAGCCUCGAAGUGAUACUUCCUAGCCGUUGAGUUAGCAGCGGCCGCUGUAGACGUGGGCUAGGAAAGGACGGACGACGGAUCCAGUCUAACAGACGGACGAAGAUACCACCACGUAUCCAAUUUACCACCAGAGACAUUCUUCCGAGAACAGGAAGAUCUGUUGGCCAACCCGGCCAGCAUCUACGACCAAUCUACCGAAGCGCAGCUCAGAGUAAAUAUUUAUUGCAUUUUCCUUUUCCAAAUGGGCGGUAAUUUAGAAUGCAUAAGAUAAUGUAUUUACGAUAGCAUAGCUGCUGUUUCUUUGUUCCUAAAUCUUCCCGCUCUUUCAUUCAAGCCCAACCCCCUUUCCUUUGUGUAACCAGCCAUGAUACAGGUUCCGUCCACCAGGACGUUUUCUGUAUGACAUCAUUUGUAUUCGGUGUAUUUGUAAUUCUGUGUGAUUAGUUUAGGUAUUUAGUAAAUAAAUAAUUAAACCCAAUUUUGUAUUGCUGAUUCAACUUGUUAGCCAGGGUUCGUGAAGAUAACCAAGAAUUUACAACUUUCAUUAUGAGACUGAAAAUAAGAUAAGGGUUAAUAUUGACUGCUAUCGAUGUAAAAUAUUACUAGGUAUUUUAAGAGUUUAUUCGGAAGAUAACGGCUCUAUAAACGUUCUUCCGUGGUGCCCCGACUUUCUAGUUAAUUACAUUUACAUGAUUAGCUUAAUCAGGUAAUAUUAAUUAGAGAAAGAAUUUUAUAGGUUAGCAUGUCAUAUCACUUAAUCCGGCAUAGCCAAAGACACGACACCUGGUUUGAAGAGACACAGAAUCAGCAGAAAAUACAUAAUCCUCCAACCAGGAUUUAAGGAAAACGUGGGGAUUUAUAUAGUUUAUACAACCUGAUAGGAUUUAUACAGUUUAUACAACCUGAUAGGGUUUAUACAACCUGAACAUGCUGCUGACUCUACACUGUCUGUCACUGACCUGCUAACCUCUACACUGUCUGUCACUGUGCUGCUAACCUCUACACUGUCACUGUGCUGCUAACCUCUACACUGUCUGUCACUGUGCUGCUAACCUCUACACUGUCUGUCACUGUGCUGCUAACCGCUACACUGUCUGUCACUGUGCUGCUAACCGCUACACUGUCUGUCACUGUGCUGCUAACCUCUACACUGUCUGUCACUGUGCUGCUAACC